This 311-nucleotide unclassified non-coding RNA is filed under the name plant metagenome. RNAcentral's name for it is "partial contains 5.8S ribosomal RNA, internal transcribed spacer 2, and large subunit ribosomal RNA". The stretch from base 1 to 105 matches the Rfam family "5.8S ribosomal RNA", at positions 50 to 154 of the family's 154-position model. The record is from RNAcentral.
GAAAUGCGAUAAGUAGUGUGAAUUGCAGAAUUCAGUGAAUCAUCGAAUCUUUGAACGCACAUUGCGCCCCUCGGUAUUCCGUGGGGCAUGCCUGUUCGAGCGUCAUCUACACCCUCAAGCUCUGCUUGGUGUUGGGCGUCUGUCCCGCCUCCGCGCGCGGACUCGCCCCAAAUGCAUUGGCAGCGGUUCCUUGCCCCCCCCCUCUUUGCGCAGCACAUUGCCAAUUCGAGGCGGCGGCGGCCCGCGUCCAACCAGCUCAACCCCCCCGUCUUUGACCUCGGAUCAGGUAGGGAUACCCGCUGAACUUAAGC